RNAcentral lists this long non-coding RNA (407 nucleotides) under Parus major (Great Tit). RNAcentral describes it as "lncRNA (ENSPMJG00000011574.1)". Lineage: Eukaryota; Metazoa; Chordata; Aves; Passeriformes; Paridae. The record is from RNAcentral.
GGAAAAAAUAAUUUUCAGUGUCACUCUAAAUAAGAUCAAACAGUCAAACGACAUCUCACUGUUUGAGAAAAUUACUUAAUUGAAUGAAGCACCACAGUUGUAGAGAACACAAGUAGGGAAAUAAAAGGCAUCAUGCCAUGUAGGAUUUGGAUAUAAUCUAUCGGUGAAAUCUAUUUUCCAAAGGACAUGAAGCAUGCUUUUGCCUCUUCUGAAAGUAUUUCUGCUGCCUUUUGAAGGGAGCAAUGUAGGUGAUUAAUUAUUCGCACUCACCUCACUCGAGCCUAGGUUAAGGCCAUCAAUUUGAGAGGGCUGAUUUUUGUUCUUCAGGUCCCUUACUAUGUUUCUCAGCUGUCUGUAGAAGGUUGCCAGAAUCACAUUAAGAUUUUCCAGGUAAUAGUGGGUUUUCU